CCAAUAGCGUAUAUUAAAGUUGUUGCAGUUAAAAAGCUCGUAGUUGAAUUUCGGGGUUCUACCGUUGGUCGGGCUAACCAGUCUGUACUAGCGUGUAGAAUUUCUACCUUCUGGGGAACCAUCAUGUUAUUAAUUUAGCGUGGUGGGAAACCAGGACCUUUACCUUGAAAAAAUUAGAGUGUUCAAAGCAGGCUUACGUCUGAAUACAUUAGCAUGGAAUAAUAGAAUAGGACGGUGGUCCCGUUUUGUUGGUUUCUGAAUCACCGUAAUGAUUAAUAGGGAUAGUUGGGGGCAUUAGUAUUCAAUUGUCAGAGGUGAAAUUCUUGGAUUUAUUGAAGACUAACUUCUGCGAAAGCAUUUGCCAAGGAUGUUUUCAUUAAUCAAGAACGAAAGUUAGGGGAUCGAAGACGAUCAGAUACCGUCGUAGUCUUAACCAUAAACUAUGCCGACUAGGGAUCGGACGAUGUUAAAUUUUAUUGACUCGUUCGGCGCCUUACG
Molecule: ribosomal RNA, 498 nt
Filed under: uncultured Glomeromycotina
Lineage: Eukaryota; Fungi; Glomeromycota
Description: partial small subunit ribosomal RNA
Rfam family: Eukaryotic small subunit ribosomal RNA
Source: RNAcentral